Molecule: small nucleolar RNA, 132 nt
Filed under: Drosophila persimilis
Lineage: Eukaryota; Metazoa; Arthropoda; Insecta; Diptera; Drosophilidae
Description: snoRNA:GL28027
Source: RNAcentral
UUUUUGUUUAAGAGACUUUAUACUCUUCUGCAAAUGAUUUAACAAGGGCUAGAUCAAAGCACAUUAUGAGCAUAUACCAACCAAGCUGGCAUUUUAUUUGAUAUGCAGAUUGGGUGAUGCAUCAGAAACAAU